Molecule: unclassified non-coding RNA, 343 nt
Filed under: soil metagenome
Description: partial contains 5.8S ribosomal RNA, internal transcribed spacer 2, and large subunit ribosomal RNA
Rfam family: 5.8S ribosomal RNA (bases 4-119)
Source: RNAcentral
GAUAAGAACGUAGCGAAAUGCGAUAAGUAGUGUGAAUUGCAGAAUUCCGUGAAUCAUCGAGUCUUUGAACGCACAUUGCGCCCCCUGGUAUUCCGGGGGGCAUGCCUGUCCGAGCGUCAUUGCUGCCCUCAAGCACGGCUUGUGUGUUGGGCCUCCGUCCUCCUCCCGGGGGACGGGCCCGAAAGGCAGCGGCGGCACCGCGUCCGGUCCUCGAGCGUAUGGGGCUUCGUCACCCGCUCUUGUAGGCCCGGCCGGCGCUUGCCGACACAUCAAUCUUUUUUCCAGGUUGACCUCGGAUCAGGUAGGGAUACCCGCUGAACUUAAGCAUACAAUAAGCGGAGGA